Long non-coding RNA from Sciurus carolinensis (gray squirrel), 195 nucleotides. RefSeq lists it as uncharacterized. NCBI's taxonomy places the organism in Eukaryota, Metazoa, Chordata, Mammalia, Rodentia, Sciuridae. The transcript is spliced from 3 exons. The record is from RefSeq and is a predicted model, not a curated record.
CGAAGGCAAGGCGCACACCUGAAUUGUAAAGCUUCAGAUGACAGGUCAAGGGACCACUCACAGAAUAAGAGAUGGAUGAAUUGGACUGAAAGCUCAGACCACCAAGUUCCUGGAAGUGGAGGGAUGUCACAUGGUCACCUUGAUGAUGCUGGACCAGAGCACAGUCAUCUUAUUCAUGAGGCAUGUGCUUGUCCC